This 878-nucleotide long non-coding RNA is filed under the name Ixodes scapularis (black-legged tick). RNAcentral's name for it is "uncharacterized LOC121834767, transcript variant X1". Lineage: Eukaryota; Metazoa; Arthropoda; Arachnida; Ixodida; Ixodidae. The record is from RNAcentral.
GUGGUGUCGGUAAGGCGUUUACGGGGAAGUUCAUGGCUGCUGUGGUCUACGGUCGCACUUUUGGAUUACGCGCAGAGAUUGACGAGACCGACACGCUGUCGAAAUCCUGUACCGCAUGCCCCGGCCAGACUUUGUGUGCACCGACAGACAGAAUAUCCUGACGUCCAAUUGGAAAAGCUGAACCCACGCUGCCACAAAUCUUGAAGGCGCUCGGUCUAGCGAAGAGAAGCACCAAGUUCCCGUCCCAUUUCAAGCAGCGCCAAGCCAAGAAAUUCGCCUUAAGUAUUAUAUGCCUGACAAUUUUAAGACAAGUUUCACUUUAAUGGGGUUUCAAAGUGACUCUUGCAAAUUCGAAAAAACGCAAUGGGAGAAUACGGCUUCCCUGUAAGAAGACUCGAAUAGCGGUGGAACCGUAUGCAAAGCUGCGAGCUCGUGCUCGCAAAUGUCGCUAUUUAUUCCUGUCCCAGCAAAACGGGCUAAACGGUGCACAAAAACUUUUAUGAUCUCAAGAGUUGUACCCUCCAGUCAUGUAAGUGAUGGGAGAGAGGUAAGAGGUAAGUAUAUAUAAACGAGUUCAAUGUUUAAUAACAAGAACUCACAAGAAGCCAGCAGCGCAAACUCGACACAGCCAACAAACAUGACAAAAAAUUAUCAAUUCAAGUAAACGUUUUCACCCAUGUGAAACUUCGAUCUCGUGAUAGGUAACACAGACAGGUACACGCAUUUCUGGAAUUUGUUGCGAGAUAUAUGAAUGCUAACAUAGGCGCGAUGUCCGGCCUAAGCGGCCACCGUGGGAAAACUUCUGAUAAACUCUGGGCUGCAGCCUCACAAAGGAAAUUAACGUUUUAGCGUUUUCAACAUUCUCGUAGGCCAUACGU